AACGCACCUUGCGCUCCUGGGCUAUUCCUAGGAGCAUGCCUGUUUGAGUGUCGUGAAAUCAUCAACCCCAGUUGGAUUUGAAAUUUGACUGGUGGCUUGGACUUGGGGGUUUGCUGGCCGUUUUGACUCGGUCUGGCUCCCCUUGAAUGUAUUAGCUUGGACUUGUUCCUAAGGCUUCAUGGCGUGAUAAUUAUCUACGCCGUUCUGUGAAGCAUAACUAUGGGACUCGGCUUCCAAUAGCCCUUCACUGGACAAUAUCUUUGACCUUUGACCUCAAAUCAGGUAGGAUUACCCGCUGAACUUAA
This 305-nucleotide ribosomal RNA is filed under the name uncultured fungus. Its description in RNAcentral is "eukaryotic LSU rRNA". The record is from RNAcentral. Lineage: Eukaryota; Fungi.